AGAUGUGAGCGCCAUCUGGCUGACGUCUGUCACCCCACCAUCACCGGGGUGAUUUGGCUGAUCUGACUGGCUAGCAAGCGUCCCUUCCUCCCCCAGCGUUCCGCAUGAGGCCCUCCCAAAGCUCCGCCACGUUCCAAGCUCUCUGGUCAGAUGCAUAUGAAUAGCUGCUCUCCCUUGUUAGAACCUCCUCUCAAGGUCCAUUUGUAGAAUGGGGAGUAGCCAAAUUUCCAUGACUCCACACAUGUCCAGAUGAGGCACUGCAGGUCAAGUCUGCCUCCCCCU
This 282-nucleotide small nuclear RNA is filed under the name Vulpes vulpes (red fox). RNAcentral's name for it is "7SK RNA (ENSVVUG00000009359.1)". It matches the Rfam family "7SK RNA". Rfam says of the family: 7SK was discovered as an abundant small nuclear RNA in the mid-70s but a possible function has only recently been suggested. Two independent studies have found that 7SK RNA binds the CDK9/cyclin T complex (known as elongation factor P-TEFb). Lineage: Eukaryota; Metazoa; Chordata; Mammalia; Carnivora; Canidae. The record is from Rfam by way of RNAcentral.